This 76-nucleotide transfer RNA is filed under the name Allobosea sp. LC85. RNAcentral describes it as "Bosea sp. LC85 tRNA-Gly". The record is from RNAcentral. Lineage: Bacteria; Pseudomonadati; Pseudomonadota; Alphaproteobacteria; Hyphomicrobiales; Alloboseaceae.
CGCCGGUCUGGCCGAGGCGGGCGGCCAGCGUCUCGCCGUGGCGGUCGAGCAGGGAUUCGACUUCCUUCCCGGCGCC